This 409-nucleotide unclassified non-coding RNA is filed under the name Hevea brasiliensis (rubber tree). Lineage: Eukaryota; Viridiplantae; Streptophyta; Magnoliopsida; Malpighiales; Euphorbiaceae. The record is from RNAcentral.
GGCAGUUGCAGCGAGCUUUCCUUUUGUGGGGCUGAAAACGAAACAUGGAGACACAGACACUCCACGAAAACACCUAAAGAUGCCAGAGCUGAAGUUUAGUAGCAUUACCAGUUUACCAUCACUUAAAGCCUCCACCCUCCAAUCCAAUGGCAGCUCCGGUGAAGAUGGACGGACCUCCAAUAUCGACUGCCGCCUCCAGGGUACCAGCUUUUCAAGAUGAGAGCAUCUCCCUCUUUGUUAAAUGCUUUCUUCUAAUCAAACCAUUCUGUUGAUUACCCGUAAAAAUAAUGCAUUGUAUGUGUGGUUUUGAUUGAUUCCAGAGUUAAGAGCAAUAUGUCCCUGCAUAUGUGAGAAGUAUGCAGAUAAAGGAAACAAGAAAUUAUACGGGACAAACCCACUGGCAAAAGCA